GCUAACGUAGCUUAAUUAAAGCAUAACGCUGAAGAUGUUAAGAUGAACCCUAAAAAGUUCCGCCAGCA
This 68-nucleotide transfer RNA is filed under the name Curimatopsis evelynae (spottail curimata). RNAcentral describes it as "tRNA-Phe". It matches the Rfam family "tRNA". Rfam says of the family: Transfer RNA (tRNA) molecules are approximately 80 nucleotides in length. Their secondary structure includes four short double-helical elements and three loops (D, anti-codon, and T loops). The record is from RNAcentral. Lineage: Eukaryota; Metazoa; Chordata; Actinopteri; Characiformes; Curimatidae.